CCACAAACAAGAAUGGACGGGCUGCGUUCUCCAUAAACGGUGCUAAUCUUAAGGCUGAUCUGAAUCUGGUGGCGAGUGCUAAUCCAGAGGUUUUUUAUGGUUGUAAAUCGCCAUACUUCACUACAGAUACAAGUGACCGUGGAGUAUUCAUUUGUUGGAGAGGCUGGUAGCUACAGCGCGGACAUAAUCUAUAUGGAGUGAUCGUCCUCCAUGGAUUUCAGACGGUUAAAGCAAAGGCUGGUGAUGCAGUCACAAGUGGCUCUGUGACGUUCCAGUUGUCCGUCAGCGUCGAUAUGGCUCCAGCAGUGCAGAUUCUGGUCCACAGCAUUCUUCCCAGUGAGAAUGUAGUUGCUGCUAGUGUGCCGUUUGACACCGAUAUGUGUGUCCAGAACCAGGUGUCUCUGCAGUUUUCUCCAGCUACGGCGGUUCCUGCGGAGGGAAACGUUCUGAUGGUUUCUGC
Pimephales promelas (fathead minnow) is the source of this 460-nucleotide non-coding RNA. The record is from RefSeq and is a predicted model, not a curated record. Lineage: Eukaryota; Metazoa; Chordata; Actinopteri; Cypriniformes; Leuciscidae.